Molecule: long non-coding RNA, 1515 nt
Filed under: Mus musculus (house mouse)
Lineage: Eukaryota; Metazoa; Chordata; Mammalia; Rodentia; Muridae
Description: long non-coding RNA chr8:122830645-122832160
Source: RNAcentral
UCUCCUGAGCAGAUACUGAGUGAAGAAGCCAGUUAUAAUUUGUGGACUUUUCUGGCCCCAGCUAGGGCACACGGGAAGCCAAGCAAGCUCAAGGCUGGGCUCUGACUGCAUAGGUGCCCCAUCUGGUGGGAGGGCUUAUUCAGCCGGUACCAGAGCUGGGGAGACGGUGAUUAUACGCAAAGCCAGAGGUUUGGAGCUCCGAAGCCAACAUCCCAGCAACCUGUCCUAGCCCCUGUGGCACUGGGACUGGCAGCCCUCGGGGACACAGGAGCCUGCAGGGGUAGCAGCAGCCAGUCUACUGGUUCCUGCCUGUUCCACCCAGCCUCUCUGUGUGUAGAUCUGAAAUGUUCCACACUUUUUUUUCCUGCUGGUGAACCCAGGGUCUCAUGUGCACUGGGCUAGUCUUCUCUACCACUGACAAGGCCCCAGCCCUUUGUUAGUUUAAUUUGACACAGUAUCUAAGUUGCCCAGGCUAGUAAUCCUCCUGUCUCUGCCUCUUGAGUAGCUUCCUAUACGACCCCUUCAGACCCAGUGCAUUUUUAAUUAAUUGGUUAAUUAUAUUGGGGAAGGGAUGAGACAAGGUCUCACUGUGUAGCCCAGGCUGGCCUUCUCCAGGAUGGCCCUCGUGGCUAUUCUGUUCUUCCUUUCCUUCCUCCCGCCCUUCCCAUGCUUGUCCCCAUACCUCCCCCCUUUACAGGAACAUGGACUUAUAUAGAAGAUUUAUAGGGGAAUAACUCGAGUGAGAUUUGUCUGUGGUGUAGAGCAUAAAGGAGAUAAAACUGGGUUCUCCCCAAGGGAGACACAUGUGGCAGAGCACAGUGUCUAACUGCCCAGACUCGUCCUAGCUCACCUGGACUGAAACUGCUGACCCUUCUCACUGCCUGCCUGGGAAGCCACUGUGGACCUCGGAGCCCAGGACAGGGAGGGUCACACGGUAUUCCUAGGGGGCACACACCUGGGGUUGCCACAGGAGCCAGCAUGGCACCAAAGAGGCAGGAACCAAUCACAGAAGCAGGAUACCAACAGGCCAAGCCCUAGAAAGGUGGCCCUACCAGGGCCAGGCUGAUGGGGAGAGAGUCUUCAGAUGCCACCGUGGAGGGACUCCACUUUGAUGCCAGCCACCCCACGGCUAUUGAUGGGUCUGAAUGCAGGUGCUGGGCUUGUCACUCUAAAGGCCAGCCACAGGCAUGCAGGCAAAACACCCAUUCAGAUAAAAUCAAUGGAUAGAGUAUUUUAAGGUUGAGGUUGGCCCACUGCAGAGGUGUUUCUGCACCUGGUGCCCUCUGGUCGGCUGGAAGAAGCCAGAGUGGGCGUUCCCUCAAUUCCUUCUGGCAGUUCUUGACAGGAGUAGGGGUGAUGAAAAAACUCCAAAGAAUGGGCAAUGCUGGCACAUGCCUUUAGUACCAGCACUCAGGAGGCAAAAGCGGGUGGAUCUCUGUGAGUUCAAGGCCAGCCUGGUCUACAGAGUGAGUUCCAGAACAGCGCAAGACUAUCCAGAGAAACUCUGUCUUGGGG